This is a long non-coding RNA of Ctenopharyngodon idella (grass carp), 1413 nucleotides long. RefSeq lists it as uncharacterized. The record is from RefSeq and is a predicted model, not a curated record. The transcript has 4 exons. Lineage: Eukaryota; Metazoa; Chordata; Actinopteri; Cypriniformes; Xenocyprididae.
CUGAAACUUUCUGGGGACACCAGAGACUUUUAAUUAUCAGUCAACUUUGUUUCUCCUAAAAUUCUUUAAAAAAAAAUGCAAAUAGACACAAAGGAUUUUUCAUUGCAGACAAAUCUGAACACAGUUUGAGACAUCUUUGAGAUCUCUAGAGGAGUAAUGUGAGAUUUUUUCCUCAGGAGGAACAUCUGAGAAACAGGAAACUCAAUGUACAUUUAAUCUCAUUGCUGUCUAGGAGAAAUGGUUGAGAUAUUAAAGAGAUCUUGUUUGUGCUUAUUAUUUCCUCUGUGUCAUCCUGCGCUCUCAAAAGGAUAUUUUAUUGCUCAUCGGUUGGUCUUUCAUAGCUCAAAAAUCUUAAGUUUAAUAAAAGUAUUAACUUUAUCUCAGAUAUUUCUCAAAGUUGUGUGGAAAAAUAAAGGUAGCAGACUUUGGUGUCUUGUCAAAUCUAAACACAGACAUUGUUGAGAUCUCUAGAGGAGUAACAUGUGAGUUUUCUGUCUUUUUCCCCAGGAGAAACAUCAGAGAAGACCUAAAAUUCUCCAUUAAUCUCUUUACCGUCUGAAAGUAAAGAGAUCUCAUUCGUGUUUCUUUCUGCCAAAGAGUCGAGCUCUCCGUAAAAGCCGCCUCGAGCUCAACUUAACGCGAGUAUUACAUAAGCACGACCCCGAUGCUCCUUCAGCCAAAAGGAGCGCUACCUCCGUCACAGCGUCGAGAGGAAAUAGAAAGGGAGUGUUGGUACAGACACAGGCCUGUCUGCAGAUGGACUUAGUGGGAGCGAGUUGGCCGGACAGUAUGAGGAGAGCAGGAACAGCCAAUGGGAGGAGGACGGCACAGGAGGAGACGGGGAGAGCGUCCAAACCUGCAGCCUAAUCCACCUCCGUGUUCUCAGGGCAGCGAGUGAGCAGCACAAAUCAGACGGCCAUUACAACUGUGACAAUCUGUUUCACUUACUCCACCGAGAGCUGAAUGCCGUUCAUUUUGCUCCUGUUCUAAUUCACUACAGGAUUUUCAUCUACUACAAAACAUGAAACAUUCCUCAUUAAAAUUGUCAUGAUGAGAAGACAUAUUCAUUUUCAUUUUUGUUCAUCAAACUCAAGAUUUACUAAAGUCCCAAAUGCAGUAUAAGUGUGUGCAGUCAUCCAUACGGAAAUAUCCAUAUCAGACCUACUUUUCAGAUUAAUGGUCUACAAAGCCGAGGUGAAAACAGCAGAGAAGCUCCACUGCUUAGUGAGCGUCACAGAUGAAAGAAAUCUUCUGGGUUCAACACAAGUUACAAGUUUAAAAAAGCAAAAAUCACGGUUACAGUAAGGCAUAGAGCCAGUGUUCCCGAGGGUUUUAUAAAAGCAGAAUUGUGAAGCUUGUGUUUUUGUUAAAGCACUUGCAUUAAUUAUUCAGUAAAAACUGUUUUUACUUUGA